RNAcentral lists this ribosomal RNA (496 nucleotides) under uncultured bacterium. Its description in RNAcentral is "partial 16S ribosomal RNA". It matches the Rfam family "Bacterial small subunit ribosomal RNA", at positions 28 to 506 of the family's 1533-position model. The record is from RNAcentral.
GAUGAACGCUGGCGGCGUGCCUAAUACAUGCAAGUCGAGCGAACAGACGAGGAGCUUGCUCCUCUGACGUUAGCGGCGGACGGGUGAGUAACACGUGGAUAACCUACCUAUAAGACUGGGAUAACUUCGGGAAACCGGAGCUAAUACCGGAUAAUAUAUUGAACCGCAUGGUUCAAUAGUGAAAGACGGUUUUGCUGUCACUUAUAGAUGGAUCCGCGCCGCAUUAGCUAGUUGGUAAGGUAACGGCUUACCAAGGCAACGAUGCGUAGCCGACCUGAGAGGGGGAGCGGGCACACAGGAGUAGUGACACGGGCCAGACACCAACAGGAGGCAGCAGUAGGGGAUAUACCGCAAUGGGCGAAAGCCUGAAAGAGCAACGCCGAGGGAGAGAUGAAGGUCUUCGGAUCGUAAAACUCUGUUAUUAGGGAAGAACAAAUGUGUAAGUAACUAUGCACGUCUUGACGGGACCGAAUCAGAAAGCCGCGGCCAACUACAU